RNAcentral lists this ribosomal RNA (349 nucleotides) under Coleodactylus meridionalis. Its description in RNAcentral is "partial 16S ribosomal RNA". It matches the Rfam family "Bacterial large subunit ribosomal RNA", at positions 2038 to 2632 of the family's 2925-position model. The record is from RNAcentral. Lineage: Eukaryota; Metazoa; Chordata; Lepidosauria; Squamata; Sphaerodactylidae.
GAACCUGAUCUUUCAGUACAAAAGCUGAAAUAAGACCAUAAGACGAGAAGACCCUGCGGAGCUUUAAAAAACCCACUUUUUAAGUUGGGGCGACUACGGAAACAAAAAAAACUUCCACGACCAAGGGCUAACCCCCCAAAAAAGGACUCACACACCAACCCGCUGAUCAACGAACCAAGUUACCCCAGGGAUAACAGCGCCAUCCUCUUCUAGAGCCCCUAUCGCCAAGAGGGUUUACGACCUCGAUGUUGGAUCAGGACCCCCUAGUGGCGCAGCCGCUACUAAAGGCUCGUUUGUUCAACGAUUAAAGUCCUACGUGAUCUGAGUUCAGACCGGAGCAAUCCAGGUC